UAAUUUAAAUUUUUAUUUAAUAAUCACAAUAGUACUAGAAAAAAAAGGUUUUAAAUAUAUAUUACUAACAUUUUAAAGGAAAUCAUGCUUAAAAAUAUAAUAGACAUAAAUUAUUGACCAUAAAGUUACCAGAAAUAAUUAGAUAACUCACCACCCAUUUCUAAUGAUUAGAAAAACAAUCACGGCCUCCUCUAACAUUUCACCAUGCUUGCUAAUAUUUUGCAUUGUGUUAUAUUGUUCCCUUUUAAUUUAAUAUAAUAUUUUAUAUGGAAUGGAAAAGACCUCGCCAACCACGCAGAAACAACACCCAUUUCGGGAUCAAAGGAAAAGUUUUUCCAUUGUUUAAAAAAAAAGACAAAUCAGCACUAAAAAUAUAUAUCAAUGAAAUGACAAGACAGAUAAAAAUGGGUUAAAUUAACGUAAUGGGAAAUCAGAUUUUGCCCUUAAAAUGCAACAAGCCAAUUGUUAGAAUGAAUAAUUACAUAAGUACAAGGAAAAAAAAAAAAUCCAAUUGCAUGAAAGAUUUUAUAUUGGGUUAAGUCAUGCAUUUUUGUUCAGCCAUUUUAUUUGAAAGAUUUUAUAUUGGAUUAAACCAUGCAUUUUUGUUCGGCCAUUUUAUUUAGUAGGUUGUUUUUGAGUUUCAACUCUUGCUUUAAUUUAAGGAAUUGUAAGCAUGGCCCUUAGGUUCAUAUAUAAGGACUAAGCAAUAUGAAUGAAGACAAAAGUUUUUUUUGAUAACCCUAGUUUCACACACAACAAUCAACAAAUUACCCUCCAAGCCUCCACCUCACCUACCCCAACAGCUACAACUUACCACCAAUUUUGUCACUAUCUAUCUAAUAACUCUAUUGCAUCCCUUCACCUCUUAUCGGUGGAAAACCAGCCCAGCUCAACCACAAACACAACCAUUGCUCACCCCUCCUCUCCGUUUCUCCGUUAGAUAAUCUACCCUCACCCAUUUAAUCCCUCCUUCAGAAAUACCACACUAUCUUUCAAAAACCUCACGGGUUACCCCAACAGAGUUCACAUGACCACCAUAUCCCGUUGUUACCUAACACCCCACCCAUCAAGGUAAAACCCUAUUGCUACUCACACCACCACAAGGAAGUGAUCACUGCUCUCAUUUAUGAAAUGUUGCAAAAGGGUAUUAUCCAACCCAAUACAAGCCCUUUUUUUUCCCGGUGUUGCUAAUAAAAAAAAAAAUGGUCCAUGACAUUUUUGUGUUGACUAUGGAGCCCUAAAUGCAGCCACCAUUCGUGACCAUUUCCCCAUUCCUACCAUUGAUGAAUUGCUAGAUGAAUUGCUAGAUGAGUUAGACUCAACUACUGUUUUUACUAAAAUAGAUUUACACUCUAGUUGUCGUGCUAGAUGAGUUAGACUCAACUACUGUUUUUACUAAAAUAGAUUUACACUCUAGUUGUCACCAAAUACUUCUUGUUCCAGAAGACACUCACAAAACAGCUUUCCGCACUAUUGAUGGUCAUUACGAAUUCCUAGUCAUGCCAUUUGGGUUAACUAACACCCCUUCUACUUUUCAAGUAACAAUGAAUGAUCUUCUCAGACCAUACCUCCGCAAGUUUGUCUUAGUUUUUUUUAUGACAUUUUAAUUUACAGUUCAAGCUUACAGGACCAUAUGAUUCAUCCCAAAACUAUAUUGGAAGUGCUACACACUCAAAUUUUUUUUGCUCAAGGGGUCCAACCAGACCCACAAAAGAUCAGCGCCAUACACAAUUGGCCUCAGCCACGGUCACUCACGACAUUACGGGGUUUCCUCGCCCUCACUGGAUUUUAUAGAAAAUUCAUAAAGCACUACGCCACACUCGCUGCUCCUCUCACCGACUUAUUACAAAAACACAAAUUUAGAUGGACGGAGCUUGCGCAACAAGCAUUUGAAAAAUUGAAAUUACAUAUGACACAAAUGCCUACUCUACACCUCCCUGACUUCAAGCUUCCAUUUGUGGUAGAAACUGAUGCCUUCGCAGUGGCCGUUGGAGCUGUACUCAGUCAAAAUGGCCAUCCUCUUGCCUUCUUCAGCAAAAAGAUGAACCCCAAGCUCCAAGCUUCUUCUGUUUAUGUCCGUGAGAUGUAUGCCAUCACAGAGUCAGUAAAAAAAUGGCGUCAGUAUCUCAUAGGACAACAUUUCACAAUAAUCACAGAUAAGAAAAGCCUCAACACCCUUCUUGCCCAAACCAUACAAACCCCAGAACAACAAAAAUGGACAGCUAAAUUAUAGGGAUAUGAUUUCCAAAAAAUUUACCAACCUGAACGGGAAAAUGCGGCGGCUGAUGCUCUUUCAAGAAUGGUUGAGGAACCCACACUCAACAUGUUGGCAGUUUCGUCCCCAUUACCUCAGCUGAUUCAAGAACUCCAAAAUUUUUUUGACACCGCAGAAGGCCAGGAGGUGAUCUAGGCAUGCACAGGAAACCAACAGCAACCAAGUCUUUUUUCCACAGGCCAUGGGUUACUCUUUUUCUGCCACCAAAUUUUUGUGCCAGCAACAAAGGACUUUUGUUAGCGCAUCAUGAAUGAGUUCCAUGCUUCUCCUUAUGGCGGCCACUCCAGUUUUAAACUGACCCUCAAGCGCAUAUCCGUUUCCUUCUACUGGCCGAAAUGGACAUGAGACGUCCAUAGCUUCGUCCAACUAUUCUCCGUGUGUCAGAAAAACAAAUACAUGCCAACAAAAUUCAAGGUUUACUUCAACCAUUACCAAUUCCAGAACAAGUAUGGGAAGAUAUAUCAAUGGAUUUUAUUACUCACCUUCAAAGUUCAGCUGGCCACUCGAUCAUUUGGGUCAUCUGUGACAGAUUAACAAAAUAUGCCCACUUCCUAGCUCUUCCUACGCACUUCACAGCCCAACAGCUAGCCAAACGAUUUUCAGUGGAAAUAUGCCGACUCCAUGGUCUACCAAAAACCAUCGUCUCCGACUGCGACCCCUUGUUCGUCAGUACCUUCUGGCAACACCUAUUCAAGGCACAAGGAACCACGUUAAAAUUCAGCUCGUCAUACCACCCACAAACUGACGACCAAACGGAAGUGUUGAAUAGAGGGUUAGAAGUGUACCUCAGGUGCUUUGUGGGAAAUCAACCGGACAAAUGGUAUCAAUUUCUUCACUUGGCAGAGUUAUGGCACAACACCACCCACCAUUCGGCUAUAGGAACCUCACCCUUCCAUGCUCUGUAUGGUGGACAACCACCCACUGUUGUCGACUUCGUGCGCACCCUACAAGACGGUGCAACCAUUUCGGGGUCGUUAUCCGAACACAUCGUCGUCCUUCAGGAGCUCCAGGAGCACUUGCAUCUUACAAGGAAGCGAAUGUGUGACCAAGCGAAUCAACACCGCACAGAUCGGAGUUUCGCACCAGGAGAUUAGGUGUGGGUUUUCCUCCAACCCUACAGGCAACGAACCUUGGAACGACGUACACACCAAAAGAUGGGACUGCGCUUCUCAGGCCCAUACAAGGUAUUACGCCGCAUCGAAUCCGCCGCGUACGAGCUACAACUGCCAGCGACCGCCCACGUCCACCCUGUUUUUCAUGUGUCGCUACUGCGAAUUUUGAAAGGGACUUUUGAAGAAGCUCCUUUAGUUUCUACCAAGUCCGCAAACAACUGCCCAACAACACUUAACUCACAUUCAAAAACCAGUCAAAACCUUCUGAACGCACCGCCCUAAGAGUCCAAUAACAACGAGACAAGUGUGGUGGAACCCUAGAACCUCGAGCCCAUCACGCACGUGCCUACCCCACCUUUUACCCCCACACUUUCUAACUAUCUGCACACGCAUCCUGCCACAACCAUUACCGCAUGCCACGUGUAAAGGAACGUGCAACAGCCACAACGUCCCCAAACAUUGAGCCCAACGCCCAUAAUGCAUCCCACGCACCCUAACCCUAAUGCAAUCGUGACACAUACCUUGGCAAACCCUAAUGCACUAGCGAUGCAUACCUUAACAAACCCUAAUGUGCCAAUGACGCAUCCUACCCAACCCAGUGCCCAAGCCCAAAUCCAAUGUGCCCAACCCAACAAGCCUACACAAUGUCAAUUCGCACCCCGUUCUAAAUAUCCCCACACACCACCCAAUGCUCCAGACACGUCUCAACUGGGCCACAUCCAGCCCAACACCUCUCCACUGGCCCAUUAGACUCCAAGAUUGUACUUUGAGGACAAAGUGCUUCCUGAGUCGGAGAGUAAUGUUAGAAUGAUUAAUUACACAAGAACAAGACAAAAAUAACAACCUAAUUGGAUGAAAGAUUUUAUAUUGGGUUAAGUCCAUGCCUUUUUAUUUUGCCAUUUUAUUUAGUAUGUUGUUUUUUAGUUUCAGUUGUUGCUUUAAUUUUAAGAAUUGUAAGGCCCAUGGCCCUUAAGUCUGUAUGAAUGAAGACAAAAGUUUUUUUUGUGAUAACCCUAGUUUUAGUAUAACAGUAACAAAGGUCUAUAAUUGGUGCUUUCAUUGAUAUGGCUCCCAAACUAUCAUCCAAGGACAUGGAAGAGUUCAUCCACACCAUCCAAGCUCAACUCACCCUGAUUCAAAACCAAUUAAAGGACACCUCUAGCAAAGAGUCUACCCUAGAAGCAAAGAAUGACAACCUCCACUCCUAUGUCACAUCACUGCUGGAUCAAGUCACCCUCCUCACACACCCUGAAAAUCCAAAUCCUCUGCAUCACCACCAAACAAGUCCUCUAUCAUCGCAUUCUCACUCCCACUAGCAACAACCCCCUUCUCUACAACCACCAACACUUACCCUACCUUUUUUUGAAGGUACCAAUCCUCUGGACUGGCUUUUUCAGGCAGAUCAUUAUUUUUCAUUCUAUCAAAUUCCCCUAGACCAGCGUUUGCUCAUGGUGGGAUUCCACAUGCAGGGAGAUGCUCUCUCCUGGUUUAAAUGGCUGCACAACAAUAACCUCCUCAUAGAUUGGCAAUCAUUCACAAGGGCCUUGGAGCUCCGUUUUGGCCCAUCAACAUAUAUCAAUCACCAAGUUGAGUUAUUCAAACUCCAACAAACCUCCACAGUCACAGAAUACCAAGGCAGGUUUGAACAUUUAUACAACUGUGUGGUGGGUCUCACUCCCGAGACUAUACUUAAUUGCUUCAUUUCUGGUUUGAGUAUUGACAUUCGCAGAGAGCUCACUAUAUUAAAUCCUUACUCUAUAGCCCAAGACAUAGGACUAGCCAAGCUUAUUGAAGACAAACUCAGAGAUUCUAAACCUAAACAACACCGUUUUAGCCCACCACCACACCACACCACCACUACUUCUUCAUUCACAAACACUAGACCUAAUACCCUUACCCUACCCCACCAUCAGAUCAAAUACCCAUAAAACGUCUCUCAUCUUCCCAAAUGCAAGAACGACGUGCCCUAGGUCUAUGCUACAAUUGUGAUGAAAAGUUCUUUCCUGGCCAUAAGUGUACUACAUCUCGUUUUUUACUUCUCUUGGAUGAUCCUGAUACCUUAAAUGAACCCACCGAGCAAUUCGUCUCACCCUCCGAAUACACUACUCCCCUCCAUUUUCACAUCUCCCCACAAGCCAUCUCAGGUACCAUUUCCCCAAAAACCCUCAAAUUCAUAAGUUUAAACCGCAAUCUUCCAGUCACCGUUCUUAUUGAUUCAGGUAGCUCGCACAACAUCCUUCAACCACGUAUCGCCUGCCAUUUACACCUAACCAUAUCUCCUAGCCCACCACUAUCUGUUAUGGUUGGUAAUUGGGCUUUCAUCUAGUGUCAAGGACUUUGCCCAUAAGUGGAUAUCUCACUCAACACUCCACCUUUACUAUCCUUUUUUACCUUCUUCCCAUUGAAGGUGUGGAUGUUGUCCUUGACAUAGAUUGGUUAAGUACACUGAGAUCCAUCCAUGAAGAUUUCGCAAUCCCCAGCAUAGCUUUCACACACAACAAUCAACAAAUUACCCUCCAAGCCUCCACCUCACCCACCCCAACAACUACCACUUACCACCAAUUUUGUCACUAUAUAUCUAAUAACUCUAUUGCAUCCCUUCACCUCUUAUCGGUGGAAAACCAGCCCAGCUCAACCACAUACACAACCAUUGCUCACCCCUCCUCUUCGUUAGACAAUCUACCCUCACCCAUUCAAUCCCUCCUUCAGAAAUACCACACUAUCUUUCAAAAACCUCACGGGUGACCACCAUAUCCCGUUGUUACCUAAAACCUCACCCAUCAAGCUAAAACCCUAUCGCUACUCACACCACCAUAAGGAAGUAAUCACUGUUCUCAUAUAUGAAUGUUGCAAGAGGGUAUUAUCCAACCCAGUACAAGCCCUUUUUCUUCCCCGUGCUGCUAAUAAAAAAAAUGGUACAUGACGUUUCUGUGUUGACUAUAGAGCCCUAAAUGCGGCCACCAUUCGUGACCAUUUCCCAUUCCUACCAUUGAUGAAUGGCUAGAUGAGUUAGCCUAAGCUACUGUUUUUACUAAAAUAGAUUUACACUCUGGUUAUCACCAAAUACUUCUUGUUCCAGAAGACACUCACAAAACAGCUUUCUGCACUAUUGGGUUAACUAACGCCCCUUCUACUUUUCAGGCAGCAACAAAUGAUCUUCUCAAACCAUACCUACAAUGAUUUGUCUUAGUUUUUUUUUUAUGACAUUUUAAUUUAUAGUUCAAGCUUACAGGACCAUAUGAUUCAUCUCUAAAUUAUAUUGGAAGUGCUACACACUCAAAAUAAAAAUGUCAAGCUUUCCAAAUGCAGUUCCGCAACCGCAGAAGUAAGUUACCUAGGUCACGUAAUAUCAGCUCACAGCUCAAUGGGUCCAACCAAACCCAUAAAAGAUCAGCGCCAUACACAAUUGGCCUCAGCCACAGUCACUCACGACAUUACAGGAUUUCCUCGACCUCACCAGAUUUUAUAGAAAAUUCAUAAAGCACUACGCCACACUUGCCGCUCCUCUCACCGACUUAUUACAAAACCACAAAUUUAGAUGGACGGAGCUUGCGCAACAAGCAUUUGAAAAAUUGAAAUUAAACAUGACACAAAUGCCUACUCUACACCUCCUUGACUUCAAGCUUCCAUUUGUGGUAGAAACUGAUGCCUCUGCAGUGGCCGUUGGAGACCAUCCUAUUGCCUUCUUCAGCAAAAAGAUGAAACCCCAAGCUCCAAGCUUCUUCCGUUUAUGUCCGUGAGAUGUAUGCCAUCACAGAGUCAGUAAAAAAAUGGCGUCAGUAUCUCAUAGGACAACAUUUCACAAUAUCAAAGAUCAGAAAAGUCUCAACACCCUUCUUGCCCAAACCAUACAAACCCCAAAACAACAAAAAUGGACAGCUAAAUUACAGGGAUAUGAUUUCCAAAUAAUUUACCGACCUGGAUGGGAAAAUGCGGCGCCUGAUGCUCUUUAAAGAAUGGAUCAGGAACCCACACUCACCAUGCUGGCAGUUUCGUUCCCAAUGCCUCAGUUGAUUCAAGAACUCCAAAAAAUUUUGACACCGCAGAAGGCCAGGAGGUGAUCCAGGCAUGGGAAACCAAGAGCAACCAAGUCUUUUUUCCAUAGGUCAUGGGUUACUCUUUUUCCGCCUCCAAAAUUUUUGUGCCAGCAACAAAGGACUUUCGUCAGCGCAUCAUGAAUAAGUUUCAUGCUUCUCCUUAUGGCGGCCACUCCAGUUUUAAACUGACCCUCAAGCGCAUAGCCGCUUCCUUUUACUGCCCAAAAUGGACAUGAGACGUCCAUAGCUUCGUCCAACAAUGCUCUGUGUGUCAAAAAAGCAAAUACAUGCCAACAAAAAUUCAAGGUUUAUUUCAACCAUUACCAAUUCCAGAACAAGUACGGGAAGAUAUAUCAAUGGAUUUUAUUACUCACCUUCCAAGUUCAGCUGGCCACUCGGUCAUUUGGUCAUCUACGACAGAUUAACAAAAUAUGCCCACUUCCUAACUCUUCCUACGCACUUCACAACCCAACAGCUAGCCAAAUGUAUUUCAGUGGAAAUAUGCCGACUCCAUGGUCUACCAAAAACCAUCGUCUCCGACCGCGACCCCUUGUUCGUCAGUAUCUUCUGGCAACACCUAUUCAAGGCACAAGGAACCACGUUAAAAUUCAGCUCGUCAUACCACCCACAAACUGACGGCCAAACGGAAGUGUUGAACAAAGGGUUAAAAGUGUACCUUAGGUGCUUUGUGUGGAAUCAACCGAACAAAUGGUAUCAAUUUCUUCACUCGGCAAAGUUAUGGCACAACACCACCUACCAUUCUGCUAUAGGAAGCUCACCUUUCCAUGCUUUGUACGAUCGACAACCACCCAUUGUUGUCGACUUCGUGCGCACCCCACAAGACGGUGCAACCAUUCCGGGGUCAUUAUCCGAACACACCGUCGUCCUCUAGGAGCUUUGGGAGCACUUGCGUCGUAGAAGGCAACGAAUGUGUGACUAAGCGUACCAACACCGCACAGAUUGGUGUUUCGCACGAGGAGAUUGGGUGUUGGUUCGCCUCCAACCCUACAGGCAACGAACCUUGGAACGACAUACACACCAAAAGUUGGGACCACGCUUCUCAAGCCCAUACAAGGUAUUACACCGCAUCAGAGCCGUCGCGUACGAGCUACAACUGCCAGCGACCGCCUGUGUCCACCCUGUUUUUCAUGUGUUGCUGCUGCGGAUUUUCAAAGGGACUUCUGAAGAAGCUCCUUUAGUUUCUACCAAGUCUGCAAACAACUGCCCAAGAACACUUAACUCACAUUCAAAAACCAAUCAGAAACUUCUGAACCCACCGCCCUAAGAGUCCAAUAACAGCGAGACAAGUGUCGUGGAACCCCAGAACCUCGAGCCCAUCACGCACGUGCCUACCCCACCUUUUAACCCCACACUUACUAACUAUCUGCACACGCAUCCUGGCAUAACCAUUAACGGCACGCCACAUGUAAUGGAACGUGUAGUAGCCACAGCGUCCCCAGACUUUGAGCCCAACGCCCAUAAUGCAUCCCACGCACCCAAGCACCCUAACCCUAAUGCUCCAGCGACACAUACCUUAGCAAACCCUAAUGCGCCAAUGUCACAUCUUAGCCAACCCGGUACCCCAGCCCAAAUACAAUGUGUCCAACCCAACAAGUCUACACAAUGUUAGUUCGCACCCCUUCUAAAUAUCUACACACCAACCAAUGCUCCAGACACGUCUCAACUGGACCACAUCCAACCCAACACCUCCCCACCGGCCCAACAAACUCCAAGACUGCACUUUGAGGACAAAGUGCUUUCUGAGCCGGACAAUAAUGUUAGAAUGAGUAAUUACACAAGCACAAGGCCCAAAAAACAACCCAAAUGGAUGAAAGAUUUUAUAUUGGAUUAAGC
Molecule: long non-coding RNA, 9278 nt
Filed under: Phaseolus vulgaris (common bean)
Lineage: Eukaryota; Viridiplantae; Streptophyta; Magnoliopsida; Fabales; Fabaceae
Description: long non-coding RNA (PVUL_LNC001008)
Source: RNAcentral